UCAGAGAAGUCAUGCUACUCUUCUUUGUUUUAAUUGCUUUUAAAAACAUUGCAGGCGCUGUGGACAGCAGCAUUACACCAGAACAAACCAUCAUAUCUUCAAAUGAAGGCAGCAACACCACACUGACCUGCACAUAUGAUGCAUCAGCUAGAUAUCUCCACUGGUAUAGACAAAAGCCUCAGUCAGGACCAGAGUUUCUGCUGCUAAUUGUUGUAUCUUCCAGUGAUAUCAAUAAAGCUAAAGAACUUGACCCACGACUAUCCAUCAAACUUCGUAAAACGGCAAAUAAACUAGAUCUGGAGAUCUUUCCUACUGCAGUAUCAGACUCUGCACUCUACUACUGCGCCAUGGAGCCCACAGUGACACAAAGCACAAACAGACUUUAA
Molecule: non-coding RNA, 386 nt
Organism: Clarias gariepinus (North African catfish)
Lineage: Eukaryota; Metazoa; Chordata; Actinopteri; Siluriformes; Clariidae
Source: the annotation of a RefSeq genome assembly